RNAcentral lists this ribosomal RNA (253 nucleotides) under uncultured bacterium. RNAcentral describes it as "partial 16S ribosomal RNA". It matches the Rfam family "Bacterial small subunit ribosomal RNA", at positions 524 to 776 of the family's 1533-position model. The record is from RNAcentral.
UACAGAGGGUGCGAGCGUUAAUCGGAAUUACUGGGCGUAAAGCGUGCGUAGACGGUUGCGUAAGUCAGAUGUGAAAGCCCCGGGCUCAACCUGGGAAUUGCAUUUGAGACUGCGUAGCUAGGGUGCGGAAGAGGGAAGCGGGAUUUCCGGUGUAGCGGUGAAAUGCGUAGAUAUCGGAAGGAACACCAGUGGCGAAAGCGGCUUCCUGGUCCAGCACCGACGUUCAGGCACGAAAGCGUGGGGAGCAAACAGG